UGGGGAAUAUUGGACAAUGGGCGAAAGCCUGAUCCAGCCAUGCCGCGUGUGUGAAGAAGGCCUUUUGGUUGUAAAGCACUUUAAGUGGGGAGAAAAAGCUUAUGGUUAAUACCCAUAAGCCCUGACGUUACCCACAGAAUAAGCACCGGCUAACUCUGUGCCAGCAGCCGCGGUAAUACAGAGGGUGCAAGCGUUAAUCGGAAUUACUGGGCGUAAAGCGCGCGUAGGUGGUUAUUUAAGUCAGAUGUGAAAGCCCCGGGCUUAACCUGGGAACUGCAUCUGAUACUGGAUAACUAGAGUAGGUGAGAGGGGAGUAGAAUUCCAGGUGUAGCGGUGAAAUGCGUAGAGAUCUGGAGGAAUACCGAUGGCGAAGGCAGCUCCCUGGCAUCAUACUGACACUGAGGUGCGAAAGCGUGGGUAGCAAACAGGAUUAGAUACCCUGGUAGUCCACGCCGUAAACGAUGUCUACCAGUCGUUGGGUCUUUUAAAGACUUAGUGACGCAGUUAACGCAAUAAGUAGACCGCCUGGGGAGUACGGCCGCAAGGUUA
RNAcentral lists this ribosomal RNA (549 nucleotides) under uncultured bacterium. Its description in RNAcentral is "bacterial SSU rRNA". It matches the Rfam family "Bacterial small subunit ribosomal RNA", at positions 355 to 896 of the family's 1533-position model. The record is from RNAcentral.